This is a transfer RNA of Eremothecium cymbalariae DBVPG#7215, 90 nucleotides long. It matches the Rfam family "tRNA". From Rfam's summary of the family: Transfer RNA (tRNA) molecules are approximately 80 nucleotides in length. Their secondary structure includes four short double-helical elements and three loops (D, anti-codon, and T loops). Further hydrogen bonds mediate the characteristic L-shaped molecular structure. tRNAs have two regions of fundamental functional importance: the anti-codon, which is responsible for specific mRNA codon recognition, and the 3' end, to which the tRNAs corresponding amino acid is attached (by aminoacyl-tRNA synthetases). tRNAs cope with the degeneracy of the genetic code in two manners: having more than one tRNA (with a specific anti-codon) for a particular amino acid; and 'wobble' base-pairing, i.e. permitting non-standard base-pairing at the 3rd anti-codon position. Lineage: Eukaryota; Fungi; Ascomycota; Saccharomycetes; Saccharomycetales; Saccharomycetaceae. The record is from Rfam.
CUCUCGGUAGCCAAGUUGGUUUAAGGCGCCAGACUGUAAUUUGCAAGAUUUGUAAUCUGGAGAUCGGGUGUUCGACUCACCCCCGGGAGA